This 429-nucleotide ribosomal RNA is filed under the name bacterium. Its description in RNAcentral is "partial 16S ribosomal RNA". It matches the Rfam family "Bacterial small subunit ribosomal RNA", at positions 355 to 776 of the family's 1533-position model. The record is from RNAcentral.
UAGGGAAUCUUCGGCAAUGGGGGCAACCCUGACCGAGCAACGCCGCGUGAGUGAAGAAGGUUUUCGGAUCGUAAAGCUCUGUUGUAAGAGAAGAACGUGUGUGAGAGUGGAAAGUUCACACAGUGACGGUAACUUACCAGAAAGGGACGGCUAACUACGUUCCAGCAGCCGCGGUAAUACGUAGGUCCCGAGCGUUGUCCGGAUUUAUUGGGCGUAAAGCGAGCGCAGGCGGUUUAAUAAGUCUGAAGUUAAAGGCAGUGGCUUAACCAUUGUUCGCUUUGGAAACUGUUAAACUUGAGUGCAGAAGGGGAGAGUGGAAUUCCAGGUGUAGCGGUGAAAUGCGUAGAUAUAUGGAGGAACACCGGUGGCGAAAGCGGCUCUCUGGUCUGUAACUGACGCUGAGGCUCGAAAGCGUGGGGAGCAAACAGG